GACGAACGCUGGCGGCGUGCUUAACACAUGCAAGUCGAGCGGAAAGGCCCUUCGGGGUACUCGAGCGGCGAACGGGUGAGUAACACGUGGGCAACCUGCCCUCAGCUCUGGGACAACUCCGGGAAACCGGGGCUAAUACCGGAUACGACCGCUGCCGGCAUCGGUGGUGGUGGAAAGUUCUUCGGCUGAGGAUGGGCCCGCGGCCUAUCAGCUUGUUGGUGGGGUGAUGGCCUACCAAGGCGACGACGGGUAGCCGGCCUGAGAGGGCGACCGGCCACACUGGGACUGAGACACGGCCCAGACUCCUACGGGAGGCAGCAGUGGGGAAUAUUGCGCAAUGGGCGGAAGCCUGACGCAGCGACGCCGCGUGAGGGAUGAAGGCCUUCGGUUGUAACCUCUUUCAGCAGGGACGAAGCGAGAGUGACGGUACC
This 431-nucleotide ribosomal RNA is filed under the name uncultured bacterium. RNAcentral's name for it is "bacterial SSU rRNA". It matches the Rfam family "Bacterial small subunit ribosomal RNA", at positions 28 to 479 of the family's 1533-position model. The record is from RNAcentral.